GAUGAACGCUGGCGGCGUGCCUAAUACAUGCAAGUCGAGCGAACGGACGAGAAGCUUGCUUCUCUGAUGUUAGCGGCGGACGGGUGAGUAACACGUGGAUAACCUACCUAUAAGACUGGGAUAACUUCGGGAAACCGGAGCUAAUACCGGAUAAUAUUUUGAACCGCAUGGUUCAAAAGUGAAAGACGGUCUUGCUGUCACUUAUAGAUGGAUCCGCGCUGCAUUAGCUAGUUGGUAAGGUAACGGCUUACCAAGGCAACGAUGAAUAGCCGACCUGAGAGGGUGAUCGGCCACACUGGAACUGAGACACGGUCCAGACUCCUACGGGAGGCAGCAGUAGGGAAUCUUCCGCAAUGGGCGAAAGCCUGACGGAGCAACGCCGCGUGAGUGAUGAAGGUCCUCGGAUCGUAAAACUCUGUUAUUAGGGAAGAACAUAUGUGUAAGUAACUGUGCACAUCUUGACGGUACCUAAUCAGAAAGCCACGGCUAACUACGUG
Molecule: ribosomal RNA, 497 nt
Filed under: uncultured bacterium
Lineage: Bacteria
Description: partial 16S ribosomal RNA
Rfam family: Bacterial small subunit ribosomal RNA
Source: RNAcentral